AGCCACAGCCAUAUCACCCUGCAGCCCAAGACUGGUUACUCGCUGAAGCUAAGCAGAGCCUGGUCAGUACCUGGAUGGUAGACCACAUGGAAAAACUAGGUUGCUGUUGGAA
RNAcentral lists this ribosomal RNA (112 nucleotides) under Danio rerio (zebrafish). Lineage: Eukaryota; Metazoa; Chordata; Actinopteri; Cypriniformes; Danionidae. The record is from RNAcentral.